AGUAGCCCAUACAAAAAUUAAAUUUGGGCCAAAAUUAGUAAUGCCCAGCCUAAAAUAUUUAAUCCGAAACUCCAGAUAUCACCUAAGCGACAAAUUUGUUGGUAGUACAAAUAAUGAUUUUGUGAUUGAUAAUGAAUUCGAUGAGGAAGGCCGAUGGGCCAGUUACAAUCUCAAUCAAGAUGUCGAGAUGACAGCUUAUGAUUUAUUCUAGAUAAGUUUUUUUUUUUUUAUGCCUUUUAUGUCAUACUAAUGAAUUUUCUUCAUUUGUUUUGUUUUGUGUUUUU
This 284-nucleotide long non-coding RNA is filed under the name Eucalyptus grandis. Its description in RNAcentral is "long non-coding RNA (EGRA_LNC001667)". The record is from RNAcentral. Lineage: Eukaryota; Viridiplantae; Streptophyta; Magnoliopsida; Myrtales; Myrtaceae.